This 2340-nucleotide unclassified non-coding RNA is filed under the name Leishmania donovani. Its description in RNAcentral is "gene:LdHU3.13.0510(CDS-product:C2_domain_containi ng_protein_putative)". The record is from RNAcentral. Lineage: Eukaryota; Euglenozoa; Kinetoplastea; Trypanosomatida; Trypanosomatidae.
CUUCUUUUACAGAGCCAUGGUUUCUGGGCUUGUUGAGCUCGAAAUAUUGAGGGGUAAAAACUACCCUCAGACGGAAGACGAUCCGAAUCCCUGCACGACCCAGGUGACAGUAUCAGUAGCUGACGCAUUAUCAGGCGCCGUUCUCUCUCCUGCGCAGUUGUCAUCUAUUCAGCAAAACUCGAAUGCCCCAUUUUACAACGACACACUGAAUUUCAGGGUGGAGGACGCAUCUGAAGAUGUUUGUCUUUCCAUUACAGUGAUUGAACACUCUCGUCGAAAAAUGCCGUUUGUUCUUUUUUAUGGCAAGCAGAUUAUUGGCCUUUCCAAGCUAAAAGCAAAGCAGCGAUUUGUGAUUCCUCUGUUCUCGGAGGAAGAGGGUAUUCAACAAGUCGAAAUCGGCGCAGACACGCUGGACCUUGAAAGCAGCGGAGGAGCACCAUUCUUGAGCGCACGUGUCCAGUUUACAAAAGAUAAAAUUUUUGACAAGACCGAUCCGUAUUCCGAUGUGGAUGUAUCAGGCAAGGGCUUAUCCUUCGACGGCAAGAAUCAACUGGUUCCCGAAGGGACCCAGUACGUAUGGCUGAGGCUGAAAAGCGACAAAAAAUGGACGAACUCUUUUCAAUAUGAGCUCUCCGUUGCUUGGCGUUCUCGUGCUCCACUCGAAACGGAGGCUCAGGGCAACAUGAAGUCGCGGAAAGGCAUUACUGGAGGCAUGGCUGCAAUUUCUGCAGAACCGGACUCGACACGGACACUGGGCGACAUCAUCAUCAAAAAAUGGUGUUGCCGCCGCACGCACCAGGUACUCACUCGAGUUUGCAUUACUGCAGAGAAGUAUGGAAAUAAAGUCACAGAUCUCACAUUCACUCCAAAGGAGGAGGUGGAGUUUCGCACCAACAAAAAGGAGCGCUGUGUUUUUCUCGAGCAAAUUUGCAAAAAGAGACUGGAAGACGCUUGUAGCAACUGUCUUCGAGAGUGGCUCAACAGGUUAUGGAUUCUUUUUGUUACCGGUGUCGACAGCGAUCCUGCAGGACCGAGAGCUUUAAGCUACGAGGUGCGAAAGGCUGUCCAUGAUGCACAAUUCACAGAAGCAGAUGCCAUUAUCCUGCAAGCGUGCCUUUUGUUUUCCUUUAUUCCGUCUCUCAAGUACGAAGUGUGUCAAGCCCUUUCCGAGUCUGAUUAUCAAGCCGCUCAGCCGGAAAAAAAGAUAGAGGUGAGCACUUUGGAAUCACCCCAGCGUCGUGUAACACCUUCACAGGAGACGUUCACUCAUGUUUUUAUUUCGUUUGUCGGCUCACUUCUUGACACGCUAACCGAGGCGGAGAUCGCUAAGGCCGCAGCUGAGUUUAAGCCUGCUAUAUGGGAUGCACAGCAGCGCAUUGCCAAAGGCGCAAAAAGCACAAUCGGUUCUUGCAGAAAGAAAUACGAAGGGUCCAUUUUCAAAGGCAGUGGUAUUCAUAUCGAUCACUUGGACAAGCUCGGACGUCGCAAGCAAGUGCCGAAAUUUGUUUGACGAAGGAUUGUGCUUAUCACACCGAGAAUCUCUUGGGCCUGAAAACACUUUCUCUCCACUUUUUCUUUUAACGCGGCGCAUGUACAAUACCGAAAAGAAAAAAAAAUACGAUCUUUAUUUGUCGCGCUUUCAAGAUUUGACACCAAGGAGAAAACGAUAUAGUAAGUGUAGCGUGAUAAACUGUGCACACAGAAAAAAUACUUUUCUGUCUUGACGUGGGUUACCAGGUCGAAAAAAAAAUAAAGCAACUCUCUUGCAUGUGCAAUCAUCUUUUUUUUUCCAGUUCCAAGUAUCUUGUUUUUAUUUGGCUUUCUGUUGCUACCAUAUUUCUCUGAUGAUGCGGUCCACCUAAAACCGCGGCAUCAGGGUCUAGUACUCACUCUGUGGGGAAGCGGAUAUCGUACAGACUGCCCUCGGGUACGACUGGCGGACUCGUGGUUUCAGCGGACAGGUCUGGGCCGGUUCUGAGCCGAAGAGGCUUGCGGUCAUGAUCAUGUUUGUAGUAGCUCACUACGAAUCGCGUCUUCGAUUCAACAAGUAUACGCAUCGAACCACAGCCUCUCUGCUUCUGCUGCGUUGCGGUGAUGCUGAGCUUAGUUCUGGACUUAGGCUCCGCUGCAUGUAGCGAAAUUUCAGUGGAUUGAGCGGCGCCAAACAGUAUUGGUUGGUUCGGCUCCUUGACAUAACCGUGGCACAACAGAGGUGGAUGAGCUGUGGCUGCAUGCGUCUAUUUGUUAACUUGUUUGUGGCAUCAUGAUACGUUGAAGAAAAGCCAACUUGCUGCCAUCUUUUUUCCGCUAACCAAUGCUUCGAUGUAGCUCGAUUUUCUC